GACGAACGCCGGCGGCGUGCCUAAUACAUGCAAGUAGAACGCUGAAGAGAGGAGCUUGCUCUUCUUGGAUGAGUUGCGAACGGGUGAGUAACGCGUAGGUAACCUGCCUGGUAGCGGGGGAUAACUAUUGGAAACGAUAGCUAAUACCGCAUGAUAUUAAUUAUCGCAUGAUAAUUAAUUGAAAGAUGCAAUUGCAUCACUACCAGAUGGACCUGCGUUGUAUUAGCUAGUUGGUGAGGUAACGGCUCACCAAGGCGACGAUACAUAGCCGACCUGAGAGGGUGAUCGGCCACACUGGGACUGAGACACGGCCCAGACUCCUACGGGAGGCAGCAGUAGGGAAUCUUCGGCAAUGGGGGGAACCCUGACCGAGCAACGCCGCGUGAGUGAGGAAGGUUUUCGGAUCGUAAAGCUCUGUUGUAAGAGAAGAAACGGGUGUGAGAGUGGAAAGUUUCAACAACUGUG
RNAcentral lists this ribosomal RNA (465 nucleotides) under Streptococcus sanguinis. RNAcentral describes it as "bacterial SSU rRNA". It matches the Rfam family "Bacterial small subunit ribosomal RNA", at positions 28 to 477 of the family's 1533-position model. The record is from RNAcentral. Lineage: Bacteria; Bacillati; Bacillota; Bacilli; Lactobacillales; Streptococcaceae.